Diospyros lotus (date-plum) is the source of this 1481-nucleotide RNA transcript. It is a transcript of the gene named iron-sulfur cluster co-chaperone protein HscB homolog, with no coding region annotated. NCBI's taxonomy places the organism in Eukaryota, Viridiplantae, Streptophyta, Magnoliopsida, Ericales, Ebenaceae. The transcript has 9 exons. The record is from RefSeq and is a predicted model, not a curated record.
UUAUCUCCCAUUCCUAGAACCCAAGUCCAAACAUGUUGAAGCAGAAGCUCCUUUGGCUGCCGUUCGCCGCGCUUCUCCGUCGAAGCGUUCCCGGCGCCGCUCAUCUUUCAGCCGACUAUGCUCCGAAGACGUGGCUUUCCUCUGAUUUCUCUUCUCCGCAUCCCUCAGCAAGCGAUGAGGAAGCUGAUUGGGCUUCGCUAAGCCCGAUCCCUCAUUUUGGAGAACUCGGUUUUUUGGGGAGAAGUUUCUGCUCUGGUUCCUCCAAGAGAGUGAUCGAACGGUGCUGGAACUGUAACUCUGCGGUUGGAACGACGGUGCCGUUUCUGGUAUGUGAUGCGUGCAGAAGCGUUCAGCCUGUCAACCCCUCGGUGGAUUACUUCCAGAUAUUCGGACUGGAGAAUAAGUUUGAAAUUGAGGACAAAAAUCUCGAGGAAAGGUACAAAGACUGGCAGAAAAAAGUGCAUCCAGAUCUGGUUCAUUCUAAAUCUAAGAAAGAAAAAGAAUAUGCUGCUGAACAGUCUGCUCGGGUAAUUGAUGCAUACCGCACCCUAUCAAACCCAUUAUCUAGGGUGUUAUACAUUCUAAAGCUUGAAGGUGUAGAAGUGGAUGAAGAAAAAACCAUUUCAGAGCCAGAAUUGCUAGCUGAGAUUAUGGAAAUUAGAGAAUCUGUUGAAGAAGCUGCUGACACUCAGGCAUUAGUUCAUAUUCAGUCACAGAUGCAAGAGAAUAUGAAACAUUGGUACAAAUCUUUUGCGAAUGCAUUUCAAAACCAGAAAUACGAUGAAGCUCGGAUGUGCAUCCAGAGAAUGACUUACUACCAGCGUGUAAAUGAAGAAAUCAUCAAGAAGUUAUGAUACUGGUGUAGCUUUGAUCUAUGUGGUGGACCUUCGGGACACAAAUGGGUCAUCUUCUGAAUCAUGGCUCAUUCUAGUUGGUCAAAAGUUCUUAGUCAUAGUUGCAGUUGGUUUCAGGUUCUAUAUGUUCCAUCUCUUCAACUUAAUCCACCAAUGAUGUUGGACUGGAUGUUACUUCUUGCUUGGAGAUUCAUGAACAGACCCCAUCAUAGUGAUACUUAGGUAUGUAAAGUGCUUCUUCAGCAAGGAUAAUAGUAUUUUGGUUCUGACAGACAUCUUAGAUUUGGCUCUCUUGUCAGAUCUAUUUCGUGGUUGAUUCCAGAAUAAGCCAGAUUUUCAGAACGAAACCCUAUCUGGAAGGCAGAUUAGUCACUGAUUUCUGAAAGCAUAUCAUCGAACAUAGACUUACAGUGUUCCUCAGCAGCUUGAUGUUACAACAGUUGGUAUUGGUUCUUACUUUCUUGGCAUCUCAAUGGUGUAAAAGAUGAUACUGCUCAGUCAGAUUACUUGUGUAUUACACUGGCAACAUCAGAAACUGAUCAUUUUGUUGCUAACGGUAAUAUAUGACUAUAUAUACCGCUAUUGAUGCUAUAGGCAGAAAUUACAAACUUUCUGAACGACUAGAAA